RNAcentral lists this ribosomal RNA (486 nucleotides) under uncultured bacterium. RNAcentral's name for it is "partial 16S ribosomal RNA". It matches the Rfam family "Bacterial small subunit ribosomal RNA", at positions 30 to 507 of the family's 1533-position model. The record is from RNAcentral.
AUUGAACGCUGGCGGCAUGCCUUACACAUGCAAGUCGAACGGCAGCACGGGUGCUUGCACCUGGUGGCGAGUGGCGCACGGGUGAGUAAUACAUCGGAACAUGUCCUGUAGUGGGGGAUAGCCCGGCGAAAGCCGGAUUAAUACCGCAUACGAUCUACGGAUGAAAGCGGGGGACCUUCGGGCCUCGCGCUUUAGGGUUGGCCGAUGGCUGAUUAGCUAGUUGGUGGGGUAAAGGCCUACCAAGGCGACGAUCAGUAGCUGGUCUGAGAGGACGACCAGCCACACUGGGACUGAGACACGGCCCAGACUCCUACGGGAGGCAGCAGUGGGGAAUUUUGGACAAUGGGCGAAAGCCUGAUCCAGCAAUGCCGCGUGUGUGAAGAAGGCCUUCGGGUUGUAAAGCACUUUUGUCCGGAAAGAAAUCCUUGGCCCUAAUACGGGCGGGUGAUGACGGUACCGGAAGAGUAAGCACCGGCUAACUACGUG